GCCCAGCUCCGCUCGCCCGGGAGCCUCCCUGCAGCUUCCUUCCACCCACUGAGGGGUCUGCACAGGGCGGGUUCCUUCCUCUCUCCUGUGCCCACUGCGGGAGCCCGCAGGGCCCAGAGAGCUGGGAGGAAAGAGGAGCCCAGGCACCCCCUACUGGUACUGUGGCCUCCGCAGGGGCCCAUGGACCUGGGUCUGGGGGUCCUCAGAGGCCAAGGGCAGGGGCUCCAGACACGGAUCCCCAAGACAGCCCAGGCUGGCCUCCUCCAGGGCCCGGCCCUCUCUCCUAGAGCCUCCCCUGACCAGGCAGUCCUGCCAGUGCACCUGCCCAUCUCCCUGUGCCACCCAGGACGCAGGCCCAGCCAGGUGGUGCUGGGGGUGAGAGGCAGAGAGGGAUAAAGACCCCUGCCCCAGGCUGGCUCAGGACCUCAGGCCAGGACCUGCCUGGGGCCCAAGUCCCUGUCAGCAGAAGGGGAGGGUGGGCUUGCUACCCCCCCUGCCCUUGGACACAUGCACACUCCAGCCCCUUCCCCUGGUGCUCUGUUGGCCAUUCUGAGGCAGUACCUCCCUGCACC
This 572-nucleotide long non-coding RNA is filed under the name Marmota monax (woodchuck). Lineage: Eukaryota; Metazoa; Chordata; Mammalia; Rodentia; Sciuridae. The record is from RNAcentral.